This 492-nucleotide ribosomal RNA is filed under the name uncultured bacterium. RNAcentral describes it as "partial 16S ribosomal RNA". It matches the Rfam family "Bacterial small subunit ribosomal RNA", at positions 29 to 507 of the family's 1533-position model. The record is from RNAcentral.
AUUGAACGCUGGCGGCAUGCUUUACACAUGCCAGUCGAACGGUAACAGGCCUUUGGGUGCUGACGAGUGGCGAACGGGGGAGUAAUGCAUCGGAACGUACCCAGAGGUGGGGGAUAACGCAGCGAAAGCUGUGCUAAUACCGCAUGUGAUCUGAGGGUGAAAGCGGGGGACCGAGCAGCAAUGUUUGGCCUCGCGCCUUUGGAGCGGCCGAUGUCGGAUUAGCUAGUUGGUGGGGUAAAGGCCUACCAAGGCGACGAUCCGUAGCUGGUCUGAGAGGACGACCAGCCACACUGGAACUGAGACACGGCCCAGACUCCGACGGGAGGCAGCAGUGGGGAAUUUUGGACAAUGGGCGCAAGCCUGAUCCAGCAAUGCCGCGUGCGGGAAGAAGGCCUUCGGGUUGUAAAGCGCUUUUGGCAGGGACGAAGCGGUGUCCGCUAAUACCGGGCGGUAAUGACGGUACCUGCAGAAUAAGCACCGGCUAACUACGUG